GGGCUUGUGGUGAAGUGGAAUCACACUGGCCUUCGGAGCCAGCGUCCCGGGUUCGAACCAGACUAUCUUG
This 70-nucleotide transfer RNA is filed under the name Methanobacteriota archaeon. RNAcentral describes it as "Euryarchaeota archaeon tRNA-Arg". It matches the Rfam family "tRNA". Rfam says of the family: Transfer RNA (tRNA) molecules are approximately 80 nucleotides in length. Their secondary structure includes four short double-helical elements and three loops (D, anti-codon, and T loops). The record is from RNAcentral. Lineage: Archaea; Methanobacteriati; Methanobacteriota.